RNAcentral lists this ribosomal RNA (253 nucleotides) under uncultured bacterium. RNAcentral's name for it is "partial 16S ribosomal RNA". It matches the Rfam family "Bacterial small subunit ribosomal RNA", at positions 524 to 776 of the family's 1533-position model. The record is from RNAcentral.
UACGGGGGGGGCAAGCGUUGUUCGGAAUUACUGGGCGUAAAGGGCUCGUAGGUGGCCAACUAAGUCAGACGUGAAAUCCCUCGGCUUAACCGGGGAACUGCGUCUGAUACUGGAUGGCUAGAGAUUGGGAGAGGGAUGCGGAAUUCCAGGUGUAGCGGUGAAAUGCGUAGAUAUCUGGAGGAACACCGGUGGCGAAGGCGGCAUCCUGGACCAACACUGACGCUGAGGAGCGAAAGCGUGGGGAGCAAACAGG